Molecule: ribosomal RNA, 255 nt
Filed under: uncultured bacterium
Lineage: Bacteria
Description: partial 16S ribosomal RNA
Rfam family: Bacterial small subunit ribosomal RNA
Source: RNAcentral
UACGAAGGGGGGCUAGCGUUGUUCGGAUUUACUGGGCGUAAAGCGCACGUAGGCGGAUCGUUAAGUCGGGGGUGAAAUCCUGGAGCUCAACUCCAGAACUGCCUUCGAUACUGGCGAUCUUGAGUCCGGAAGAGGUGAGUGGAACUCCUAGUGUAGAGGUGGAAUUCGUAGAUAUUAGGAAGAACACCAGUGGCGAAAGGCGGCUCACUGGUCCGGUACUGACGCUGAGGUGCGAAAGCGUGGGGAGCAAACAGG